Molecule: ribosomal RNA, 479 nt
Filed under: uncultured bacterium
Lineage: Bacteria
Description: bacterial SSU rRNA
Rfam family: Bacterial small subunit ribosomal RNA
Source: RNAcentral
AAUUAGCGCUGGCAGAGUGCAUAACACAUGCAAGUCGAGCGAGACCCGCAAGGGUCUAGCGGCAGACGAGUGAGCAACACGUAAAGAAUCUACCCUUGAAUGGCGAAUAACCAAUCGAAAGGCUGGCUAAUACGCCGUACUCUCCCUUGAAGGCAUCUUCGAGGGAGGAGAGAUCCGCAAGGAUCGUUCUUGGAGGACUUUGCGGCCCAUCAGCAGUUGGCGGUGUAAUAGACCACCAAGGCUACGACGGGUACCCGGCCUGAAAGGGCGGACGGGCACGAUGGCACUGAGACACGGGCCAUACUCCUACGGGAGGCAGCAGUGGGGAAUUUUGGACAAUGGGCGAAAGCCUGAUCCAGCAACUCUGCGUGAGGGACGAAGGUCUUCGGAUCGUAAACCUCUUUUACAUGGGAAGAAUGGCAGCAAUGCCUCGACGGUACCAUGUGAAUAAGCCACGGCUAACUAUGUGCCAGCAGCCG